This 24-nucleotide transfer RNA is filed under the name Gehyra montium. RNAcentral describes it as "partial tRNA-Ala". RNAcentral also lists the same sequence under 3 other names. Lineage: Eukaryota; Metazoa; Chordata; Lepidosauria; Squamata; Gekkonidae. The record is from RNAcentral.
GUGUAUUAGAGUUUUACAGGCCUU